GACGAACGCUGGCGGCGUGCUUAACACAUGCAAGUCGAGCGGUAAGGCCUUUCGGGGUACACGAGCGGCGAACGGGUGAGUAACACGUGGGUGAUCUGCCCUGCACUCUGGGAUAAGCUUGGGAAACUGGGUCUAAUACCGGAUAUGACCACAGCAUGCAUGUGUUGUGGUGGAAAGAUUUAUCGGUGCAGGAUGGGCCCGCGGCCUAUCAGCUUGUUGGUGGGGUAAUGGCCUACCAAGGCGACGACGGGUAGCCGACCUGAGAGGGUGACCGGCCACACUGGGACUGAGACACGGCCCAGACUCCUACGGGAGGCAGCAGUGGGGAAUAUUGCACAAUGGGCGGAAGCCUGAUGCAUCGACGCCGCGUGAGGGAUGAAGGCCUUCGGGUUGUAAACCUCUUUCAGCAGGGACGAAGCGUGAGUGACGGUACCUGCAGAAGAAGCACCGGCUAACUACGUGCCAGCAGCCGCGGUAAUACGUAGGGUGCGAGCGUUGUCCGGAAUUACUGGGCGUAAAGAGUUCGUAGGCGGUUUGUCGCGUCGUUUGUGAAAACCCGGGGCUCAACUUCGGGCUUGCAGGCGAUACGGGCAGACUUGAGUGUUUCAGGGGAGACUGGAAUUCCUGGUGUAGCGGUGAAAUGCGCAGAUAUCAGGAGGAACACCGGUGGCGAAGGCGGGUCUCUGGGAAACAACUGACGCUGAGGAACGAAAGCGUGGGUAGCAAACAGGAUUAGAUACCCUGGUAGUCCACGCCGUAAACGGUGGGCGCUAGGUGUGGGUUCCUUCCACGGGAUCUGUGCCGUAGCUAACGCAUUAAGCGCCCCGCCUGGGGAGUACGGCCGCAAGGCUA
Molecule: ribosomal RNA, 852 nt
Filed under: uncultured bacterium
Lineage: Bacteria
Description: bacterial SSU rRNA
Rfam family: Bacterial small subunit ribosomal RNA
Source: RNAcentral